Molecule: small nuclear RNA, 172 nt
Filed under: Erinaceus europaeus (western European hedgehog)
Lineage: Eukaryota; Metazoa; Chordata; Mammalia; Eulipotyphla; Erinaceidae
Description: U1 spliceosomal RNA (ENSEEUG00000016363.1)
Rfam family: U1 spliceosomal RNA
About the family: U1 is a small nuclear RNA (snRNA) component of the spliceosome (involved in pre-mRNA splicing).
Source: RNAcentral
AUACUUUACCUGGCAGGGGGGAGAUACCAUGAUCACGAAGGUGGUUUUCCCAGGGCGAGGGUUUAUCCAUUGCACUCCCGGGAUGUGCUGACCCCCUGCGAUUUCCCCAAAAUGUGGGAAACUCGACUGCAUAAUUUGUGGUAGUGGGGGACUGCGUUCGCGCUCUCCCCUG